UGGGGAAUAUUGGACAAUGGGCGCAAGCCUGAUCCAGCCAUGCCGCGUGAGUGAUGAAGGCCCUAGGGUUGUAAAGCUCUUUCACCGGUGAAGAUAAUGACGGUAACCGGAGAAGAAGCCCCGGCUAACUUCGUGCCAGCAGCCGCGGUAAUACGAAGGGGGCUAGCGUUGUUCGGAUUUACUGGGCGUAAAGCGCACGUAGGCGGACUAUUAAGUCAGGGGUGAAAUCCCGGGGCUCAACCCCGGAACUGCCUUUGAUACUGGUAGUCUUGAGUUCGAGAGAGGUGGGUGGAAUUCCGGGUGUAGGGGUGAAAUUCGGAGAUAUUCGGGGGAACACCAGUGGCGAGGGCGGCUCACUGGCUCGAUACUGACGCUGAGGUGCGAAAGCGUGGGGAGCAAACAGG
This 404-nucleotide ribosomal RNA is filed under the name Actinomycetes bacterium. RNAcentral describes it as "Actinobacteria bacterium partial 16S ribosomal RNA". It matches the Rfam family "Bacterial small subunit ribosomal RNA", at positions 355 to 776 of the family's 1533-position model. The record is from RNAcentral. Lineage: Bacteria; Bacillati; Actinomycetota; Actinomycetes.